Molecule: transfer RNA, 76 nt
Filed under: Malonomonas rubra
Lineage: Bacteria; Pseudomonadati; Thermodesulfobacteriota; Desulfuromonadia; Desulfuromonadales; Geopsychrobacteraceae
Also listed under: 1 other name
Rfam family: tRNA
About the family: Transfer RNA (tRNA) molecules are approximately 80 nucleotides in length. Their secondary structure includes four short double-helical elements and three loops (D, anti-codon, and T loops).
Source: RNAcentral
GCCCUCAUAGCUCAGUCGGUAGAGCGCAUCCUUGGUAAGGAUGAGGUCACCAGUUCAAAUCUGGUUGAGGGCUCCA